Molecule: ribosomal RNA, 531 nt
Filed under: uncultured bacterium
Lineage: Bacteria
Description: bacterial SSU rRNA
Rfam family: Bacterial small subunit ribosomal RNA
Source: RNAcentral
AAUAGAUACCCGGGUAGUCCACGCCGUAAACGAUGAGUGCUAGACGUCGGGGGGGUUGCCUCUCGGUGUCGCCGCUAACGCAUUAAGCACUCCGCCUGGGGAGUACGGCCGCAAGGUUAAAACUCAAAGGAAUUGACGGGGGGCCCGCACAAGCGGUGGAGCAUGUGGUUUUAAUUCGAAGCAACGCGCAGAACCUUACCAACCUUUGACAUGGGACGUUUGGGUCGCAGAGAUGCGACUCUUCAGUUCGGCUGGCGUCCACACAGGUGCUGCAUGGCUGUCGUCAGCUCGUGUCGUGAGAUGUUGGGUUAAGUCCCGCAACGAGCGCAACCCUCAUCUUCAGUUGCCAGCGGUUCGGCCGGGCACUCUGAAGAAACCGCCGGUGACAAGCCGGAGGAAGGCGGGGAUGACGUCAACGUCCUCAUGGCCCUUACAGGUUGGGCUACACACGUGCUACAAUGGCGGUGACAGUGGGCAGCGAAGGGGCGACCCGGAGCUAAUCCCCAAAGCCGUCUCAGUUCGGAUUGCACU